RNAcentral lists this transfer RNA (73 nucleotides) under Chthonomonadaceae bacterium. It matches the Rfam family "tRNA". From Rfam's summary of the family: Transfer RNA (tRNA) molecules are approximately 80 nucleotides in length. Their secondary structure includes four short double-helical elements and three loops (D, anti-codon, and T loops). The record is from Rfam by way of RNAcentral. Lineage: Bacteria; Bacillati; Armatimonadota; Chthonomonadia; Chthonomonadales; Chthonomonadaceae.
GCCCUCGUAGCUCAGUGGAUAGAGCAACCGCCUUCUAAGCGGUUGGCCGUUGGUUCGAUCCCAACCGGGGGUA